GGUGAACGCUGGCGGCGUGCCUAAGACAUGCAAGUCGAGCGGGGCAGGUUUAUACCUGUUCAGCGGCGGACGGGUGAGUAACGCGUGGGUGACCUACCCGGAAGAGGCGGACAACCUGGGGAAACCUAGUCUAAUCGGCCACUGGGUCCUGUCCUCUGGGCCAGGACAAAGGGGGGGACAGCCCGCUCCCGGUUGGGCCCGCGUCCCAUCAGCUAGUUGGUGGGGUAAGGGCCCACCACGGCGGCGACGGGUAGCCGGCCUGCGAGGAUGGCCGGCGACAGGGGCACUGGGACACGGGCCCCACUCCUACGGGAGGCAGCAGUUAGAAAGCUGCCGCAAUGGACGGAAGUCUGACGGAGCGACGCCGCGGGGAGGAGGAAGCCCUGCGGGGUGUAAACUCCUGAACUGGGGACGAAAGCCCUGUGUAGGGGGAGGACGGUACCCAGGUAAUAGCGCCGGCCAACUCCGUG
RNAcentral lists this ribosomal RNA (470 nucleotides) under uncultured bacterium. RNAcentral describes it as "partial 16S ribosomal RNA". It matches the Rfam family "Bacterial small subunit ribosomal RNA", at positions 28 to 507 of the family's 1533-position model. The record is from RNAcentral.